AGCCUUAAAAGUUAAAUGGCCAACAAUUAA
This 30-nucleotide transfer RNA is filed under the name Petricia vernicina. Its description in RNAcentral is "partial tRNA-Thr". Lineage: Eukaryota; Metazoa; Echinodermata; Asteroidea; Valvatida; Asteropseidae. The record is from RNAcentral.